Simonsiella muelleri ATCC 29453 is the source of this 67-nucleotide small RNA. NCBI's taxonomy places the organism in Bacteria, Pseudomonadati, Pseudomonadota, Betaproteobacteria, Neisseriales, Neisseriaceae. The record is from Rfam.
UUGGGGGUUGUGGGUAUCGGUAACGACCCAACACAUUCGUUUUGUGUAGGACAACCUCCACCCAUUU